CCAGACUCCUACGGGAGGCAGCAGUGAGGAAUAUUGGUCAAUGGGCGCAAGCCUGAACCGGCCAAGUCGCGUGAGGGAAGACGGCCCUACGGGUUGUAAACCUCUUUUGCCGGGGAGCAAGCCUGAGCACGUGUGCCCAGGCGGAGAGUACCCGGAGAAAAAGCAUCGGCUAACUCCGUGCCAGCAGCCGCGGUAAUACGGAGGAUGCGAGCGUUAUCCGGAUUUAUUGGGUUUAAAGGGUGCGUAGGCGGAAUAUCAAGUCAGCGGUAAAAAUUCGGGGCUCAACCCCGUCGUGCCGUUGAAACUGAUGUUCUUGAGUGGGCGAGAAGUAUGCGGAAUGCGUGGUGUAGCGGUGAAAUGCAUAGAUAUCACGCAGAACUCCGAUUGCGAAGGCAGCAUACCGGCGCCCAACUGACGCUGGAGCACGAAAGCGUGGGUAUCGAACAGGAUUAGAUACCCGGGUACCA
RNAcentral lists this ribosomal RNA (467 nucleotides) under uncultured bacterium. RNAcentral describes it as "bacterial SSU rRNA". It matches the Rfam family "Bacterial small subunit ribosomal RNA", at positions 331 to 797 of the family's 1533-position model. The record is from RNAcentral.